UACGUAGGGUGCAAGCGUUGUCCGGAAUUAUUGGGCGUAAAGAGCUCGUAGGCGGUUAGUCGCGUCUGCUGUGAAAACUCGGAGCUUAACUCCGGGCCUGCAGUGGGUACGGGCUGACUAGAGUGCGGUAGGGGAGACUGGAAUUCCUGGUGUAGCGGUGAAAUGCGCAGAUAUCAGGAGGAACACCAAUGGCGAAGGCAGCUCGCUGGAACGGUACUGACGCUGAGGCGCGAAAGCGUGGGGAGCAAACAGG
Molecule: ribosomal RNA, 253 nt
Filed under: uncultured bacterium
Lineage: Bacteria
Description: partial 16S ribosomal RNA
Rfam family: Bacterial small subunit ribosomal RNA
Source: RNAcentral